AGGGAAAGAGGGGGGUAGGCCUAACACAUGCAAGUCGAACGGCAGCACAGUAAGAGCUUGCUCUUACGGGUGGCGAGUGGCGGACGGGCGAGGAAUACAUCGGAAUCUACUUUUUCGUGGGGGAUAACGUAGGGAAACUUACGCUAAUACCGCAUACGACCUACGGGUGAAAGCAGGGGAUCUUCGGACCUUGCGCGAUUGAAUGAGCCGAUGUCGGAUUAGCUAGUUGGCGUGGUAAAGGCCCACCAAGGCGACGAUCCGUAGCUGGUCUGAGAGGAUGAUCAGCCACACUGGAACUGAGACACGGUCCAGACUCCUACGGGAGGCAGCAGUGGGGAAUAUUGGACAAUGGGCGCAAGCCUGAUCCAGCCAUACCGCGUGGGUGAAGAAGGCCUUCGGGUUGUAAAGCCCUUUUGUUGGGAAAGAAAAGCAGCAGGUUAAUACCCCGCUGUUCUGACGGUACCCAAAGAAUAAGCACCGGCUAACUUCGUG
RNAcentral lists this ribosomal RNA (492 nucleotides) under uncultured bacterium. RNAcentral describes it as "partial 16S ribosomal RNA". It matches the Rfam family "Bacterial small subunit ribosomal RNA", at positions 31 to 507 of the family's 1533-position model. The record is from RNAcentral.